CUCUGGUGUCCAGAUGGCAGGGCUCACCAGCACCAAUUAAUGGAUGAAGAAAAGAAAUCUGCUGCAAUCAGCAAAAUGCUGUGAUUACCACAUGGGACAGCCAAGUCACUGCAACAUAACCACUAUUCUUCGUGGGGGAGACAGCUCCUUGCAGGACCUUCACCAUGGAUAUCAGGUAGGAAGGUACCCAUCCUCCAGGAGCCUGAGGAUACUGAAUGACCACAGGGAGAAGAUUUCCUCCAAGGCCAUGAGGCAGCUGAGGGAAGAUGGGAAGUGGGCAGGAGACAUGAAUCUCAACAGAUAAUUUCCAGAGCUGGGAUAAAAAUAUCUGAG
This 333-nucleotide long non-coding RNA is filed under the name Cyanistes caeruleus (blue tit). RNAcentral describes it as "lncRNA (ENSCCEG00000020532.1)". Lineage: Eukaryota; Metazoa; Chordata; Aves; Passeriformes; Paridae. The record is from RNAcentral.